RNAcentral lists this ribosomal RNA (255 nucleotides) under uncultured bacterium. RNAcentral's name for it is "partial 16S ribosomal RNA". It matches the Rfam family "Bacterial small subunit ribosomal RNA", at positions 522 to 776 of the family's 1533-position model. The record is from RNAcentral.
UACGGGGGGGGAGCAAGCGUUGUUCGGAUUUACUGGGCGUAAAGCGUGCGCAGGCGGUUUUGUAAGCCAGAUGUGAAAUCCCCGGGCUUAACCUGGGAAUGGCAUUUGGGACUGCAAGGCUUGAGUUUGGCAGAGGAGACUGGAAUUCCUGGUGUAGCAGUGAAAUGCGUAGAUAUCAGGAGGAAUACCGAUGGCGAAGGCAGGUCUCUGGGCUGAAACUGACGCUCAUGCACGAAAGCGUGGGGAGCAAACAGG